AAUGUGGUUUUUGUUCCACAGGCUGCAGGAUUGUAGUUCUUCUUGCUUCUCCAGGCAGAUUCUUAAUCACUACGCCACCAGGGAAGUCCUGCAGAUUAUUUUUUGAAGUCUGAAAACAGCUGGACAAGAUGAUCUUAAAGACUUUUUGGAUUGGAAGGAACCAGCCUAAGGGGUGUGAGUUUCUCUAAAGGAAAGCUCUGUCCACCAGCAGAAAGGAAAGGGGACCUGAUUCUCUGGGUCCAGAGCAGGACAGACGAGCUCCCUGGAAUGAGCUUGGAUACCCCAGGAAUCCAGCCACCACUCACGGCCUCUGCCUCUUCCCUUCCCCAUGCACACUUGGCAUCAGGACUCCAGGCUCCAUGGGGCCCAGAGAACCAGCACCUUUCUGCUGCACUCUGAAAGGAAAGAGAGGGUUUCUCCGCCAUCUUCUUUUCAACCUGGACCACUUCUCCUGAACAACGCCCAAGGGACCAGCCAAUCAGGCUCUGGAAAUGGUGCCCUUCCAGACGUGGCUAUUUGUCAGUGGUGUGUCUCCCCUCUGGGUCUUGUCCAGGACAGCAGGAUUCCCCAGCCACUGAGUCAGGCUUUGCUGUCUACAGCAGGAAAUGAGGAAACUGAGGCCUGAAGAGAUGAAGUAUCUCUCCUUCUACCACCUUCCCAGGCAGCAUUUCCCCAAGUGUGUUUCCUACAUACUAGUUGCCAGAAAUUCUCUGCAAAAAGUAAAGGCACUGGGGAGGUCAGGGGGAGGUCAGGGGGUGCACAGAGCCCAGGGGAUCUGCAGUCAAAUAAAUUUGGGGAAGCCUAAACAUCAUGUCACUCUCUUGGAUAUCCACGAUGCACAGUAACAUAUUAUAGGCUUUUAAGAAAUCUCACAGUAAAGAAACCUGUAAACUUUGCUUAAUCCUGGACUCCUUUAAGGGUUGUCUCUUUUUUUCUCUAGACCAGCUAUAUUAGUUACAUGUUGCUGUGUUAAGAAUUUAUCCCCGGGCUUCCCUGG
Molecule: non-coding RNA, 997 nt
Organism: Delphinapterus leucas (beluga whale)
Lineage: Eukaryota; Metazoa; Chordata; Mammalia; Artiodactyla; Monodontidae
Source: RefSeq, a predicted model, not a curated record